GGGAAGCUUCAAAAGCUGCAAAUAUUGUCUUUGCAUACAAACAUGUUGUCAGGACAAAUCCCUCAAUCCCUAGGUAACAUAACCCAACUGUAUGAGCUUUGGUUAGGAAGAAACAAAUUAAAAGGGAAUAUACCAUCAAGCAUCGCUCACUGCCAAAAUCUGCAUACCCUGGAUUUAGGAAACAAUAACCUGACUGGUAUCAUACCCCAACAAAUUCUUCAUCUAUCCUUUCUAUCACUAGUUCUUAACUUGUCAUAUAACUCGUUGGUAGGUCCGUUACCCAAAGAAGUUGGCCAACUGAAAAAUAUUGGUGCAUUAGAUGUCUCAGAGAGCAAACUGUCUGGGGAAAUUCCUGAGUCAAUAGGUGAAUGUUUGAGUCUAGAAUUCCUUUACAUGGUGGGC
This 402-nucleotide unclassified non-coding RNA is filed under the name Hevea brasiliensis (rubber tree). Lineage: Eukaryota; Viridiplantae; Streptophyta; Magnoliopsida; Malpighiales; Euphorbiaceae. The record is from RNAcentral.